UGGGGAAUAUUGGGCAAUGGGCGAAAGCCUGACCCAGCAACGCCGCGUGAAGUAUGAAGGCCUUCGGGUUGUAAACUUCUUUGAUCAGGGAAGAAACAAAUGACGGUACCUAACCAGAAAGCCACGGCUAACUACGUGCCAGCAGCCGCGGUAAUACGUAGGUGGCAAGCGUUGUCCGGAAUUAUUGGGCGUAAAGCGCGCGCAGGUGGUUUAGAAAGUCUGAUGUGAAAGCCCACGGCUCAACCGUGGAGGGUCAUUGGAAACUAAUAAACUUGAGUGCAGGAGAGAAAAGUGGAAUUCCUAGUGUAGCGAUGAAAUGCGUAGAGAUUAGGAGGAACACCGGUGGCGAAAGCGGCUUUUUGGCCUGCAACUGACACUGAGGCGCGAAAGCGUGGGGAGCAAACAGG
This 407-nucleotide ribosomal RNA is filed under the name Verrucomicrobiota bacterium. RNAcentral describes it as "Verrucomicrobia bacterium partial 16S ribosomal RNA". It matches the Rfam family "Bacterial small subunit ribosomal RNA", at positions 355 to 776 of the family's 1533-position model. Lineage: Bacteria; Pseudomonadati; Verrucomicrobiota. The record is from RNAcentral.